Molecule: transfer RNA, 75 nt
Filed under: Antigonia capros (deepbody boarfish)
Lineage: Eukaryota; Metazoa; Chordata; Actinopteri; Caproiformes; Caproidae
Also listed under: 1 other name
Description: tRNA-Lys
Rfam family: tRNA
About the family: Transfer RNA (tRNA) molecules are approximately 80 nucleotides in length. Their secondary structure includes four short double-helical elements and three loops (D, anti-codon, and T loops). Further hydrogen bonds mediate the characteristic L-shaped molecular structure. tRNAs have two regions of fundamental functional importance: the anti-codon, which is responsible for specific mRNA codon recognition, and the 3' end, to which the tRNAs corresponding amino acid is attached (by aminoacyl-tRNA synthetases). tRNAs cope with the degeneracy of the genetic code in two manners: having more than one tRNA (with a specific anti-codon) for a particular amino acid; and 'wobble' base-pairing, i.e. permitting non-standard base-pairing at the 3rd anti-codon position.
Source: RNAcentral
CGCUAAGAAGCUAAACAGGGUCGUAGCAUUAGCCUUUUAAGCUAAAUAUUGGUGACUCCCAACCACCCUUAGUGA